This is a long non-coding RNA of Cryptotermes secundus, 478 nucleotides long. RefSeq lists it as uncharacterized. Lineage: Eukaryota; Metazoa; Arthropoda; Insecta; Blattodea; Kalotermitidae. The transcript is spliced from 3 exons. The record is from RefSeq and is a predicted model, not a curated record.
CAGCGCCGUACUGACACGAGUAGCCAUUCAGGUUGUGGUUUACUUCUUCAUUUAUUUAACUACUCUUAACAAUAUUUGAUCCGAUAUAGUUCUCGAAUUAUAUGAUGAUUAGUGAAACACGAAUUCCCAACAAUUCAGAAGGAAAUGGAAGUGACACAAUUAAAUAUUGUAGCGUGUAGAACGACGGCGAGAUGGAUGAAUAUACUAGGGCCGCUUCUGGGCAACGACUCGGUGUCCGUGCUUCGAUUGCGAGGUGGCAAAGAUUGGUUUGGGGAAACUUCCGAUGGGCUUGCAGGAGCGACAUCAAAUCCCUGAAAGAGUUUAGACAUUUCCCGAGUUCCACGCGCUGUCCUAUUACGUCACUGAGCCUGCAGAAGAUUGGUUACGCAGUCCGCUCCUGUAAACGCCGAUCACAGCGGCCGUGCGUCCUAAGGCAUGAAACGUCUUUGCCCGCUUCAACACUGGGAUCUUGGCUUCG